This 503-nucleotide ribosomal RNA is filed under the name Boana calcarata. Its description in RNAcentral is "partial large subunit ribosomal RNA". It matches the Rfam family "Bacterial large subunit ribosomal RNA", at positions 1915 to 2569 of the family's 2925-position model. The record is from RNAcentral. Lineage: Eukaryota; Metazoa; Chordata; Amphibia; Anura; Hylidae.
UGACCCAGUUCAACGGCCGCGGUAUCCUAACCGUGCGAAGGUAGCGUAAUCACUUGUUCUUUAAAUGGGGACUAGUAUGAAUGGCAUCACGAGGGUUGAACUGUCUCCUUUCUCUAAUCAGUGAAACUAAUCUCCCCGUGAAGAAGCGGGAAUUAUAUUAUAAGACGAGAAGACCCUAUGGAGCUUUAAACAAAUUGACAUCUGCUUCCACCUACUUCAAUUCCUGAAUAAAUACACAAAAUAUAGCAUCAUUGAUCAAUAGUUUUAGAUUGGGGUGAUCAUGGAGCAAAAAACAACCUCCACGACGAAAAGGAGUGUACCCUGAGCCAAAAGCCACAACUUUAAGCACUAAAAAAUUAACGCAUCUUGACCCAAUUUUUUGAGCAACGAACCAAGUUACCCUAGGGAUAACAGCGCAAUCCACUUCAAGAGCCCCUAUCGACAAGUGGGCUUACGACCUCGAUGUUGGAUCAGGGUAUCCCAGUGGUGCAGCCGCUACUAAA